This 476-nucleotide ribosomal RNA is filed under the name uncultured organism. Its description in RNAcentral is "partial 16S ribosomal RNA". It matches the Rfam family "Bacterial small subunit ribosomal RNA", at positions 334 to 800 of the family's 1533-position model. The record is from RNAcentral.
CACUCCUGCGGGAGGCAGCAGUGGGGAAUUUUGGACAAUGGGCGAAAGCCUGAUCCAGCAAUGCCGCGUGAGUGAAGAAGGCCUUCGGGUUGUAAAGCUCUUUUGUCAGGGAAGAAACGGUGAAAGCUAAUAUCUUUUGCUAAUGACGGUACCUGAAGAAUAAGCACCGGCUAACUACGUGCCAGCAGCCGCGGUAAUACGUAGGGUGCAAGCGUUAAUCGGAAUUACUGGGCGUAAAGCGUGCGCAGGCGGUUUUGUAAGUCUGAUGUGAAAUCCCCGGGCUCAACCUGGGAAUUGCGUUGGAGACUGCAAGGCUAGAAUCUGGCAGAGGGGGGUAGAAUUCCACGUGUAGCAGUGAAAUGCGUAGAUAUGUGGAGGAACACCGAUGGCGAAGGCAGCCCCCUGGGUCAAGAUUGACGCUCAUGCACGAAAGCGUGGGGAGCAAACAGGAUUAGAAACCCCUGGUAGUCCCAUGA